AGGGAAGCGAGCCUGCGAGGGGGAGCGAAUCCCAAAAAUAACGUCCCAGUUCGGAUUGUAGUCUGCAACCCGACUACAUGAAGCUGGAAUCGCUAGUAAUCGCGGAUCAGAAUGUCGCGGUGAAUACGUUCCCGGGUCUUGUACACACCGCCCGUCACACCAUGGGAGUCGGAAAUGCCCGAAGUCAGUGACCCAACCGUAAGGAGGGAGCUGCCGAAGGUGGAGCCGGUAACUGGGGUGAAGUCGUAACAAGGUAUC
Molecule: ribosomal RNA, 258 nt
Filed under: uncultured bacterium
Lineage: Bacteria
Description: partial 16S ribosomal RNA
Rfam family: Bacterial small subunit ribosomal RNA
Source: RNAcentral